RNAcentral lists this transfer RNA (72 nucleotides) under Nanobdellota archaeon. RNAcentral's name for it is "tRNA-Thr". It matches the Rfam family "tRNA". Rfam says of the family: Transfer RNA (tRNA) molecules are approximately 80 nucleotides in length. Their secondary structure includes four short double-helical elements and three loops (D, anti-codon, and T loops). Further hydrogen bonds mediate the characteristic L-shaped molecular structure. tRNAs have two regions of fundamental functional importance: the anti-codon, which is responsible for specific mRNA codon recognition, and the 3' end, to which the tRNAs corresponding amino acid is attached (by aminoacyl-tRNA synthetases). tRNAs cope with the degeneracy of the genetic code in two manners: having more than one tRNA (with a specific anti-codon) for a particular amino acid; and 'wobble' base-pairing, i.e. permitting non-standard base-pairing at the 3rd anti-codon position. The record is from RNAcentral. Lineage: Archaea; Nanobdellati; Nanobdellota.
GCCCCUGUGGCGCAGUAGUAGCGCGUCUGCCUCGUAAGCAGAAGGUCGGGAGUGCGAAUCUCCCCGGGGGCA